This 287-nucleotide long non-coding RNA is filed under the name Bos taurus (domestic cattle). Its description in RNAcentral is "long non-coding RNA NONBTAT006108". The record is from RNAcentral. Lineage: Eukaryota; Metazoa; Chordata; Mammalia; Artiodactyla; Bovidae.
AGCACAGCUCCCUCUUUCGCCAGCCCCAAUGAUCUUUUUGAAAUGGAGUCAUCUUGACAUAAGGAAAUCUUGCAUGACUAAGAGAAAAUAAUUUCUGAGCAUGCCAUAAGAUUUUACUUUUCAUGUUAACUUAGUGGGUUGUUCUUUUGAAGAAUCAAUGGCAUUUUAAAGGCAAGCACCUUCUACAAAUUUGGAAAUUUUGACUUUAUGCUUACAGAAAGAAAUGCCAUAAUUUAAUCACCUUUUACAGGUUGUUCCCUUCAUUUUGCAAAAUAAGCAAUAAACUC